Molecule: ribosomal RNA, 492 nt
Filed under: uncultured bacterium
Lineage: Bacteria
Description: partial 16S ribosomal RNA
Rfam family: Bacterial small subunit ribosomal RNA
Source: RNAcentral
AGUGAACGCUGGCGGUAGGCCUAACACAUGCAAGUCGAACGGCAGCACAGUAAGAGCUUGCUCUUACGGGUGGCGAGUGGCGGACGGGUGAGGAAUACAUCGGAAUCUACUUUUUCGUGGGGGAUAACGUAGGGAAACUUACGCUAAUACCGCAUACGACCUACGGGUGAAAGCAGGGGAUCUUCGGACCUCGCGCGAUUGAAUGAGCCGAUGUCGGAUUAGCUAGUUGGCGGGGUAAAGGCCCACCAAGGCGACGAUCCGUAGCUGGUCUGAGAGGAUGAUCAGCCACACUGGAACUGAGACACGGUCCAGACUCCUACGGGAGGCAGCAGUGGGGAAUAUUGGACAAUGGGCGCAAGCCUGAUCCAGCUAUACCGCGUGGGUGAAGAAGGCCUUCGGGUUGUAAAGCCCUUUUGUUGGGAAAGAAAAGCAGCAGGUUAAUACCCCGCUGUUCUGACGGUACCCAAAGAAUAAGCACCGGCUAACUUCGUG